RNAcentral lists this long non-coding RNA (480 nucleotides) under Ananas comosus (pineapple). RNAcentral describes it as "long non-coding RNA (ACOM_LNC038180)". Lineage: Eukaryota; Viridiplantae; Streptophyta; Magnoliopsida; Poales; Bromeliaceae. The record is from RNAcentral.
UUAACGUACUGAGUAAGAAUAUAUCUUAAGUUUUCAGUUUUGACCCCGUUUGGUCACUGAAAACUGUACCGAACUGUAAUCUUUAUCAGAUAGCUGUCGAAUUUUAUUUCUCACUCUACGGGUGUCAGAAAAAUAUGAAACUUUAUAUCUAGUCUCAUAAAAAUAUUUCUGGUUUAUCCUCCAAUUUUCAUAAUUUUCUGAGACUGUGCAUUUUCUGCCUAUUUAUCUGUCCCGUUUCCAACAGAAAAUUCUAGAUCUUCUGUUUUCAUUCCGAUUUCAGCACAAGUCACUUCUGACUUAUGUUUUACUCCUCUAAAUCCAAUAAAAAUAGUAUCUCACACUAUUUUUAUUUAUUUUUAUUUUUAUAUUUAAAAUUCGGUAUAUUACAUUCCAUCGCAACCUCACCGGAAUCAUUCAAAUGGCUUUCAAACCAAAUGUACACCAUAACUUCAUAAUUUUAGAAGUCUGGUACCUUACAUC